AUGUAAAUGUAAUUCCUUAUAUAGACUGCAGCAGUUGGUCACACACGCACGGAGAACGGAGCGGGGGCCCCCGGCCAAACCGUUACCACCCAUUAUUAUACAAACAGUGCUCGGCCGGAACCUUGUUGCCAGGGGAGACGGGCGCUUUACGGCAGGACGUUUGAACGGCGGCGGGGGAAAAGUUGCGGCCGCAGGUCUGACCCGGGAACAAACCGCGGCGAGAGAGUGAUGCUGUUCCGCCGUCUGCGAAAUCUGCCCUCCUUGGGCUUUAUCCUACGUCCCGCUUAAACCGAGAGAAGAGGUUGGAGCACAUCUCCUCGUCUCAUGGAAGCAGCAGAACAUGUCUCGAGGAAGUGAACUAGUGAACACUGGCACUUGGUGGAAGUACUUUGCAUCUGAAGCUCCCCUGGAAGUCAGUACAGUCAGAAAUGCUCAAGAAAGAGGUGUAGGGCUGAAGUGGAUGCAGAGUUAGGUAAAAAGAUCUAGAGGGAUUUUUUCAAAUUGGAUUGCACUCUUCAGAAAUGUACAUGGGCUGUGGAUUUGGGUACUCACAUUAAAACAGUUGUUGCCCUUCUUUACAAGUACAAAUGAUUUGUCUAAUAUUUCUCAAAACUGGUAAAUUUAAGUGGUGUUUUUACAGAUGUCUCUUUACGCUGUGUGGUUUGGCUGCUGACUUCAAUAAUUUAAUGAGGAUCUACCUGAGAGUUGUUAAGGUGCUUUGGAAUUCAUGGAUGUUUUUAUCAUUCUGUGGAUAAAUUUAACCAAAAUAUCGUGUACAAGUUUUCAUGCUAGGCUUUCAGUUCCUGAAAAUUUGUCAUGUUUUAGGAAGUAGUUGCAAAAAUAAAAAUUAUAAUGCAUCUGUAAAUGUAUUUGUAGAUUUGUAACAAAAGUCCCCUGCAUGCUGCUGCAGAUUACCAAGUAGCUUUGUUUUCUUUGAGUUUUGUCAGUUUUCACCUCUGGAUAAGAAUUCUUGUCUGCUCAUUUUGAGAAAAAUACGUUUCCUUACAGAAUGAGGGGAGAAACAGUCUCCUGGUGUUAUUGCUCUUUUUUUGCACUUGAAUCUCUUGAGGUUUCCAAGCAGUUAGGAGAAACUGGUGACAACUCUUGCUGUCCAUUAGUUUCUGAAGAGCAGAACUGGAACUGCCAGGAACAUUGCUGGCUCUACCCAGCUAUAGCUUUGAUAAAUGAGAAGAGAAAAUCCAAGCAGUCUUUGUAUAUGAUAAUUUCAAUACGAAGGAAGUUUAUAAACCAAAAAAGCAGAGGAUAGUGUUUCGCAACAAUUACUGAUCACUAUUCAUUGUGGAAAGCAUCUCAUUGUCAACUUCCAAAUAGAUAUGUGGAUGGGUUGGGGUAUUUUUUGUUGAUUGUAGUGGGUUUUUUUUAAAUUUCAUAUAUUUAAUCCAAGCAACUGGUCACUUCAUAUCUUUGUGUGCAAAGUUCCCAUUAGUUACUCUGCUAAAAGGCAUCAUAAUUGAGGAUGCAGCCACUGUCAAAGUGUUUGGGCCUAAUGCAUUCUUCUAAUCCUGGAUGCAAACCCACCAGUUAAAAUUCUUGCUCUUCAAUAUACGAGCACAUUAUAUAUGUAAUUUAAACUGCUUUGUGCCACUACUAAGCAUAGUAAAAUCCUGACUUUUCAGUCAAGGAUGCAGGAAUUAAUCAAUGUACUAUUUUGCAGAGUCUCAGCAAAGCAGUGUAUUUUCUGCAUCCUCUUAAAUGUGACAAGCUUAACAAUAUGUUUCUUGAAAGGAGGAACUUUUAAGACAGUGGUCACCCGUAACAACUGGUUUGUAUUUAAUGACAGAACUUGUAUGGGAAUUUAGGCAACCUAAAUAGGCACAAUGUCAUUUAAAUGUCAGAUUGCAUAGAUGCAAUCACCUUAUUUGAAAUUUAUUUCCAUUUGCCUGAAGGCGGGAAUUAAAAUACUUCAAUAGUCACACUGGAGCCUGUAUGCUCAAAACCAGAUAAUGAUUAUUACAAAUAGUUUUUGCCAUUUUAAAAACAGUAUUGUAUGCUGAUUUAUGGUUGAUGGUCUCAAGCAAUCUGUUUUCUGUUUGUGUGCCUACUCCUUAUUCAUGUUUUUGAAGCAAAGUUUCACAUCCUAUCUUGAGUAAUCUAGAUUUAAUGGUGUUCAUUUAGUUGAAUGAAUUUAGAACUACAGUGCAAAAUGACUCAGUGAAUUGUUUCUUGUUUCAUUUCUAGUUUGUGGAGAUUCUUUUUUAUUUUUUCCAUUAGUGAAACUUUAUUGUCACUUCUAUGUGUUUUCUUGGAAUGUCAGUUCCUGAAAUUUACUUUUCAAUCGAUGAUUUUUUAUUUAUUUUAAAAUACACUUUUGCAUCUCUACAGAAAUAGUAGUGGAAGGAGAACAAUGACCCAGAAAUAUGUAGCUUGACUGCAUUUAGCUGAGGAACCGAUCUUGAGUGACGUGGAUAUUAGAGACACCAUCAUGCAGUUUUAGUGUCCUUCUAGAUUGUCUUUCAGUUUUUGCUUUUGCUUCCAAGUGAAUCCAGUAAGUUUUGAAGGUCUACCCUGGGAUGUUGUAUAGUCCCAAAAAAUGGCAAAGCCAUUUGAAACUUUUGCACAUUUACUUAAAGUGGAGUUUGUAAAUAUUUAUCAAAAGAACCCUUUUUCACUUUGCUUCUGAUUUUCUUCUGUUUCUUUGUUCAUUUAAAGCUUGAAGCUAUGAUUCCUCAUAAAUUGUCAUGUCUUGCAAGACUUGAAAAGGCUGCACCUCCUUGAAGGGUGAAAGUAUAAGGAUGUAAACUGCCAUAAAGCAUCGACGUCUACAUAUCUCUGUAUAGCUAUGAUGACUUGCAUAUAUGUGCAACUGAUGUUUCAAAAAUCCUCUUAUUAAGAAAAAGUGUGAAGAUCACAAGGGCCUUCAAAGCCACUUUGGUUCUCUUGCCUUCCUUUUGCCCUACUUGUUGCAUAUUAGUUUUCUAUUGAAAGCAAUUAACCUGUGCUGGUACCUGUGUCAGGUUGGUGUGCUGUAUAAAAUAAGUGUAUGGAAACAUAACCAGGGUCUGUAAUUCUAUUCUUAUGCUAAUUUUAACUUUAGAUGUGAUCUCUGUUUCAGAGCCUUCACACAAGCAAAAAGAGAUUUUAGAGAAAGAAAAAAAUGGAAAAGGUCAUGCCACAUUCUUAGUGGAAAAGACAAAUCUUGCGUGUUCAAAAUGGAAUUGGAAUGCAAAUUUCAGUGUGAGUGUUGGAUUGUGAAGAGCUGAAAUUUUUUUUGUUGUUUUCAAAGUAUUUGGAACUUCAGCUGAAAAUGUCUACUUCGAUACUUUCUUUUCUACUACUAGAUGCAGUAGCAAAAUACUGUAUCAAAAUAUUAUUUUUUGUUUUAAAUUGCAUGUGAACUUGUGAGUGAUCAAAUUACAGUUGUAGUGCAGUUAGAUUAGCCAGUUUUAUUAGUAGCACAUUUCCCAUUCAUCUUUGUUUAUGAUGACUCUGCGUAAGUGUCCUUAUCCAUUAUGUUAUCUAAUUAAACACUAACGUAUUGUGAAUAUUA
Long non-coding RNA from Apus apus (common swift), 3508 nucleotides. RefSeq lists it as uncharacterized. Lineage: Eukaryota; Metazoa; Chordata; Aves; Apodiformes; Apodidae. The record is from RefSeq and is a predicted model, not a curated record. The transcript has 4 exons.